Molecule: ribosomal RNA, 235 nt
Filed under: uncultured Lactobacillus sp.
Lineage: Bacteria; Bacillati; Bacillota; Bacilli; Lactobacillales; Lactobacillaceae
Description: partial 16S ribosomal RNA
Rfam family: Bacterial small subunit ribosomal RNA
Source: RNAcentral
UGCCCAAGAGAUCGGGAUAACACCUGGAAACAGAUGCUAAUACCGGAUAAUAACAGAUGAUGCCUAUCAACUGUUUAAAAGAUGGUUCUGCUAUCACUCUUGGAUGGACCUGCGGUGCAUUAGCUAGUUGGUAGGGUAACGGCCUACCAAGGCGAUGAUGCAUAGCCGAGUUGAGAGACUGAUCGGCCACAUUGGGACUGAGACACGGCCCAAACUCCUACGGGAGGCAGCAGCG